This 30-nucleotide non-coding RNA is filed under the name Homo sapiens (human). Lineage: Eukaryota; Metazoa; Chordata; Mammalia; Primates; Hominidae. The record is from RNAcentral.
UGGGCACCGUCAGCAGGUUCUGCAGCUCCC